GACGAACGCUGGCGGCGUGCUUAACACAUGCAAGUCGAACGAUGAACCCGGAGCUUGCUCUGGGGGAUUAGUGGCGAACGGGUGAGUAACACGUGAGUAACCUGCCCUGGACUCUGGGAUAAGCGUUGGAAACGACGUCUAAUACCGGAUAGGACCUUGGAUCGCAUGAUCUGGGGUGGAAAGUUUUUUCGGUCUGGGAUGGACUCGCGGCCUAUCAGCUUGUUGGUGAGGUAAUGGCUCACCAAGGUGUCGACGGGUAGCCGGCCUGAGAGGGUGACCGGCCACACUGGGACUGAGACACGGCCCAGACUCCUACGGGAGGCAGCAGUGGGGAAUAUUGCACAAUGGGCGAAAGCCUGAUGCAGCAACGCCGCGUGCGGGAUGACGGCCUUCGGGUUGUAAACCGCUUUUAGUAGGGAAGAAGGGCUUCGGCUUGACGGUACCUGCAGAAAAAGGACCGGCUAACUACGUG
RNAcentral lists this ribosomal RNA (472 nucleotides) under uncultured bacterium. Its description in RNAcentral is "partial 16S ribosomal RNA". It matches the Rfam family "Bacterial small subunit ribosomal RNA", at positions 28 to 507 of the family's 1533-position model. The record is from RNAcentral.